RNAcentral lists this ribosomal RNA (466 nucleotides) under Vreelandella stevensii. Its description in RNAcentral is "partial 16S ribosomal RNA". It matches the Rfam family "Bacterial small subunit ribosomal RNA", at positions 338 to 795 of the family's 1533-position model. The record is from RNAcentral. Lineage: Bacteria; Pseudomonadati; Pseudomonadota; Gammaproteobacteria; Oceanospirillales; Halomonadaceae.
CCUACGGGUGGCAGCAGUGGGGAAUAUUGGACAAUGGGGGGAACCCUGAUCCAGCCAUGCCGCGUGUGUGAAGAAGGCCCUCGGGUUGUAAAGCACUUUCAGUGAGGAAGAACGCCUGGUGGUUAAUACCCAUCAGGAAAGACAUCACUCACAGAAGAAGCACCGGCUAACUCCGUGCCAGCAGCCGCGGUAAUACGGAGGGUGCGAGCGUUAAUCGGAAUGUACUGGGCGUAAAGCGCGCGUAGGUGGCUUGAUAAGCCGGUUGUGAAAGCCCCGGGCUCAACCUGGGAACGGCAUCCGGAACUGUCAAGCUAGAGUGCAGGAGAGGAAGGUAGAAUUCCCGGUGUAGCGGUGAAAUGCGUAGAGAUCGGGAGGAAUACCAGUGGCGAAGGCGGCCUUCUGGACUGACACUGACACUGAGGUGCGAAAGCGUGGGUAGCAAACAGGAUUAGAUACCCGAGUAGUC